UACUGAAAUUAGGACGGAAAUUACACCAAUCUACCAACAACGUUAAUUAGUAAACAUCCGGACUAAGUUUAUACCCAAUC
RNAcentral lists this microRNA precursor (80 nucleotides) under Schmidtea mediterranea. RNAcentral describes it as "microRNA sme-mir-2204 precursor". Lineage: Eukaryota; Metazoa; Platyhelminthes; Tricladida; Dugesiidae. The record is from miRBase by way of RNAcentral.